AGGGCUGUGAUGUCAAUGGUAGCAUGGAGGUCUCCAAAACCUCUCGUCCGGGUUCAAAUCCUGGCAGCCCUGCCA
Molecule: transfer RNA, 75 nt
Filed under: Candidatus Dojkabacteria bacterium
Lineage: Bacteria
Description: tRNA-Trp
Rfam family: tRNA
About the family: Transfer RNA (tRNA) molecules are approximately 80 nucleotides in length. Their secondary structure includes four short double-helical elements and three loops (D, anti-codon, and T loops).
Source: RNAcentral